CUGAAUAUACCGGUUCUCGUUAGAUUACCGAAGUCAAGCAUCAUUGGGCGCGGUCAGUACUUGGGUGGGUGACCACCUGGGAACACCGCGUGCUGUU
RNAcentral lists this ribosomal RNA (97 nucleotides) under Caerostris darwini. The record is from RNAcentral. Lineage: Eukaryota; Metazoa; Arthropoda; Arachnida; Araneae; Araneidae.